CAGCUAGUUGGUGAGGUAACGGCUCACCAAGGCAACGAUCAGUAUCCGGCCUGAGAGGGCGGACGGACACACUGGGACUGAGACACGGCCCAGACUCCUACGGGAGGCAGCAGUGGGGAAUUGUUCGCAAUGGGCGCAAGCCUGACGACGCAACGCCGCGUGGAGGAUGAAGAUUUUCGGAUCGUAAACUCCUGUCGAAUGGGACGAACAGAUUGCGGGUUAACAGCCCGCGGUCCUGACGGUACCGUUAAAGGAAACCCCGGCUAACUCCGUGCCAGCAGCCGCGGUAAUACGGGGGGGUAAGCGUUGUUCGGAAUUACUGGGCGUAAAGGGCUCGUAGGCGGCCAACUAAGUCAUACGUGAAAUCCCUCAGCUUAACUGGGGAACUGCGUGUGAUACUGGAUGGCUUGGAUUUGGGAGAGGGAUGCGGAAUUCCAGGUGUAGCGGUGAAAUGCGUAGAUAUCUGGAGGAACACCGGUGGCGAAGGCGGCAUCCUGGACCAAUAUUGACGCCGAGGAG
Molecule: ribosomal RNA, 519 nt
Filed under: uncultured Acidobacteriota bacterium
Lineage: Bacteria; Pseudomonadati; Acidobacteriota
Description: SSU rRNA
Rfam family: Bacterial small subunit ribosomal RNA
Source: RNAcentral